Lotus japonicus is the source of this 1602-nucleotide long non-coding RNA. RefSeq lists it as uncharacterized. Lineage: Eukaryota; Viridiplantae; Streptophyta; Magnoliopsida; Fabales; Fabaceae. The transcript is spliced from 3 exons. The record is from RefSeq and is a predicted model, not a curated record.
AUUCAUAAUAGGAAUACUUAAAAUACUUCUGCCUAGCCCGGGGCCAAUUCCAAGCUUUUAAUUUAAUUUUGUCCACCAAAUCUGAACUUUCAACAGCCUCCCCUCUAAAUAAUAAUCCAUUUCUUCCAUUCCAAAGCACCAUAACAGUAGCUAGCCAAACUGAGGAAAGUCCUCCGGUCCUCCCCUUUUCAACACUGUGCAGCUCUCCACAAAUUGCAGAAAGUGGUUACAGGGAUCAUCAAUAAGCACCAGGCACAGGUUAAGCCACAUUAGUACCUUAGCCCACACCUUCCAAGCAAAGGCACAUGUAAAUAACAGAUGUGAAGCUUCUACAUGUUUGACUGAUGUUAUUCUUUAAUGCAAAUGGCACUUAAUUUCAGGAACUGAGCGCUUUUUCAAUUAACAAGAACCAGGUUAUAGAUUACCACAAGUUCCAGCAACGUUACUAUGAGUUCCUUGACUAUUUCCCGAUUCCUGAUGGACCCAUUUGUUCAGUAAUCUGUGGUGACUAUUCAUGCAAUGGGAUAAGAAAUGACUAUAUUGGUGUAAGUUUCUAUACUAGUAGCUUUUGCUGGUUAAUGAGGUAAGAACAAAGGUAAGAGGUAAGAUCAUAAGUAGUAGCUUUGCUUGAGUCCUAUAUAUCAUAGUGAUCUACAUUACAAGAGUAAUUUUUUAUUUAUUUGAAUACAUUGUGGCUUUAUAAAGCAAAUAUAUGAAUAGAAAACCCAUGUUUUGUAACAUAUAGAGGUUCUGGCAAAGAAGUUUGGAGCAGCUGUGGUUUCUGUUGAGCAUUGCUAUUAUGGACAGAGUUCUCCAUUUAAAUCUGACCACUUUCAUCCAAGCAGGCACUCUUUGAUUUGGCUGUUUAGGGUCAGAAAUUAUCAGGCAAGUUAAAUUCUUUUACCUUCCUUUUUAACAACAACUUAGCAGAAGUGAAGUCAGUAAAGUAGCAACUUAAGAAAACUAGUUGAUAAAGUUAUAGCUUGUCUUCUGUUGGAUUUUUAUAUGACUGAAGAACCAUACAUCUCGCAUGCUUAAAAUCAAAUUAUAUAAUGCAUAGGCUUGUAAAUGAAUGCCGAAACUGAUUUCACUGCUUCAGGUUUUAUUUAAAUGAUGACUGAAUAAGCCUGCGGUGUUUAUUAGAUUGCUGUUUAUUUUAUUUGUUUGGUUAUUGCAUUUUUCUUGCAGGACUCUUUAAAUGCAAAACUUAAUAGAUCAAAAACCGAAAAUCCCUGGUUUGUUUUUGGUGUCUCAUAUCCUGGAGCGCUCAGUGUGUGGUUCCAUCUUAAUAUGUGGAAGUCUUGCAAGUUCUACUGUUAUCCUUGCUAUUUACAACUUCACAGAAUUUGAUCAGCAGAUUGGCGAGUCAGCGGGUGCUGAAUGUAAAGCAGCAUUACAAGAAACCACUCAACUUAUUGAACUAGCAGCCGUUUAAUCGUCGGAACCGCACAAAUGUAACUUUUUUAGGUGCUGAGGGUUGCACUUUGUAGAUGUUUGUUUAUAUACUAGGUAGUUACCCGUGCGGGGUCUCUGAUUUUUUUAAAUUAAAACAUGUGUUGUUUUAUAAUCUAUAAUAUUUAAUGAAAUAUAAUUAACUUUUUA